GAUGCUCUAAUCAAACAUCUCCGUAUAGAUACCAGUAGAGGUCAGACAUGUGCAUGGCUAUGAUCGAAACCUGGGACAUCCGCAGGAUCUGAAGGUAUGGAGAUCUGAUCUUCGAUUUGAUUUUGCUAACGUUUGUUUUCUUUUUUAGAUUUCAUAUCAAGAUAGCAUGUUCGUGUCAAGAUCGUAGCUAUGAUUUUCAUAUCAGAUCU
This 209-nucleotide long non-coding RNA is filed under the name Elaeis guineensis (African oil palm). RNAcentral describes it as "long non-coding RNA (EGUI_LNC051652)". The record is from RNAcentral. Lineage: Eukaryota; Viridiplantae; Streptophyta; Magnoliopsida; Arecales; Arecaceae.